GACGAACGCUGGCGGCAGGCUUAACACAUGCAAGUCGAACGCCCCGCAAGGGGAGUGGCAGACGGGUGAGUAACGCGUGGGAAUCUACCUAGUUCUACGGAACAACAGAGGGAAACUUCUGCUAAUACCGUAUACGCCCUAAGGGGGAAAGAUUUAUCGGAAUUAGAUGAGCCCGCGUAAGAUUAGCUAGUUGGUGGGGU
RNAcentral lists this ribosomal RNA (200 nucleotides) under uncultured bacterium. Its description in RNAcentral is "partial 16S ribosomal RNA". It matches the Rfam family "Bacterial small subunit ribosomal RNA", at positions 28 to 258 of the family's 1533-position model. The record is from RNAcentral.